UACGAAGGGGGCUAGCGUUGCUCGGAAUCACUGGGCGUAAAGCGCACGUAGGCGGCUUUCUAAGUCAGGGGUGAAAUCCUGGAGCUCAACUCCAGAACUGCCUUUGAUACUGGGAAGCUCGAGUCCGGAAGAGGUGAGUGGAACUCCGAGUGUAGAGGUGAAAUUCGUAGAUAUUCGGAAGAACACCCGUGGCGAAGGCGGCUCUCUGGGACGGUACUGACGCUGAGACGCGAAAGCGUGGGGAGCGAACAGG
RNAcentral lists this ribosomal RNA (253 nucleotides) under uncultured bacterium. RNAcentral describes it as "partial 16S ribosomal RNA". It matches the Rfam family "Bacterial small subunit ribosomal RNA", at positions 524 to 776 of the family's 1533-position model. The record is from RNAcentral.